UCCAAUAACCCUUCUUCUUUCAACUUGUUUUUUUUAUUCCAAUGCAUCUUGUCAUCAGCAACUCUUAGAUUCCCAAUUGAGUCUUUAGAUCUAUUAGAUUUUCUCAUAUCCAAGUUUUAAUUUACUGUCUAAUGUUUGAUUGUAUGGUUUUCAUUUCUCACAUCAACCCAUUGAUAGUAAUUGCAAUUUAUUCAAAAUUUACGUACAUAUCCCAAGGUGCAAAAGAAAAGGACUCCUAAUUCUUCAAAGGCAGAGACAUUGAUCUUUUUUAAGGGUUGUUGAUUGUAGAGUCAAUCGUGUCUUUAAUGGAGGACAACAGUUUAUUGCAUGGUUGUUGUUAUUCUUUAGGCAAUUGGUAUUAAGGUGAUGGUGGUCGGGCACACUCAUCAAGUUAGUGCUAUGCCUAUACAAUGUAAAUCUUAGAUUCUAAUUUAUGUUUCUUUUAUAUAUAUAUAUAU
This is a long non-coding RNA of Trifolium pratense (red clover), 458 nucleotides long. RefSeq lists it as uncharacterized. The transcript is spliced from 3 exons. The record is from RefSeq and is a predicted model, not a curated record. Lineage: Eukaryota; Viridiplantae; Streptophyta; Magnoliopsida; Fabales; Fabaceae.